CCGAGUUUAUUUAUUAUGGUAAUACAUACUAAGUCAGAGCAGAAUCUAUUUUUGUCGACGUUGUACAAUAAAUUGAUUAUUGAUAAAUAUCUUUCAUUGGAACGGUGAACACAUUGACUGAUCUAUGGAAAUACUGAGAAUUUUCUUCAAGUUCCACGCAGAGUUUUGUAAUAUCAAAGAGAUGAUGAAGGUUUCUUGAAACGUACAGUACGAAGAUAUAAAGGAGAAAAAAAUAAUAGAAAAAACUAGGCACUAAUGAGGAUAAUUCUGAACUAACUCCCAAAGUAAGGCUAUAAUGGUUCCACAAACAUCUUAUCGAAAAAGGAUUCCUAAGGGAGCUCUUUAAAUAUGGCGAUAUAAUAUUUAUUUGCAAGUGAGGAAAACCCACUUUAAAAGAUAUAAGCAUCAAUACCGGCAUAACUCAAAAUUGAAAAUUAGGCUUGAAGAUUCCGGAAGUGUCGUUAUUGUAUUAUGUGAUUAGUCCCAAAUAUUGGCUGCAUUACAGACACCAAUCAGUUUGCGUCAAACGUUCGAUAGGACCAGGGCUCGUUCAUGUUAUCAGCAAUGGCACAUUUUAAGUGUUGAGGUUGUUAUAAUCCCUAGUUAGUCUAUUUAAUGAAAAAAUGUCUUACUGAAAUAGUGACAUAACUCAAAAAGUUACAUUUUAAGAAGAGUAAACUUUACAAUAACUUCUUUGAAUAGUUUUGCGGUUUAUUAUUACCGUUUUAACGUUGCAAAUGUAAAAUCAAUGCACGGCCCUAUCCGGAUUUGGGUCACUUAUGCAUUUUUUAUGCGAACUUCAAAAUCAAAUGAACAUUUUUUGCGUUGCGCUAAUUGUUAAAAAUUGGAUUGUUCCCAAAUUGAAUGUUAUGUUUCAUUACUGAAAUUUUAGUGACAGUUUAAAGCAGGGGCGUCAUUUGGGCCUCCAGGAGGGGGGCAUUUGACCCCCUGGCCCUGAAAAUAACAAAAAAUACAUCAAUAUUCAUCAUAAAAUCAUAUAUAAUGUAUUGUAUAUACAGUGUGUCAAUUUUAAAACUUACAAUGGCUAUAUCUCACGAACAAAAGCUGAUAUCGAAAAAUGCUUGAAAACGUUUCUAGGAUAGUAAGGGGGAACUAAAAUGACAUGAAAGAGAACUCACCCCAUCAACCCCCUAGGCCCCAUCCAUCACAACCAAAAAAGUUUAAACUGCAAACCCCUACUUGUGAUACAUCAUUGAAAAGGCUAUAAAAAUGCUAUUCAAUGGUAUAAAUAAUAAUUAUACAGGGUGAAGUAAUAAUUGUGAAACUUUAGCUUAAAUGAAAAAUUUAAUAAGGUUUUCUUGAAUUACAAAUUUAUUAAAAAUGUCAAUUAACUAAAUACUUAAUGUGAAUUCCGUUGUUUGGUAAACAAUAAUACAGCCUAUUUUCAAAUUCUGCACGAAAUUUAGCAAAUGUUCUAGUAAUAGGGCGACAUGCUUGAGUAAUUCUUUCUCACAAUUCCCCAAGUGAAGCAAGUUGAGUUUUAUAAACAACUGAUUUAGGGUAACCCCAUAGAAAAAAGUAAUAUACUAUCCUACUAUAAAAAGUACUAUCCAAUGGUAUAAAUAAUAAUUAUACAGGGUGUUAAUAUCAGCUGGCUUACUAUGACUUUUGUAUUUGUAAUGCUAUCUCUCGGACUAUUAUUUUAAAUGGUAAGUGUCUGCUCGUACUUUUUUUUUAUUAAAACUUAAUUUGCCAUUUUUGCCUUAAAUCAGUUGUUUAUAAAACUUAACUUGCGUCAUUUGGGAAAUUGCGAGAAAUAAUUACUCAAGCAUGUCGCCCUAUUACUAGAAAAACAUUUGUCAAAUUUCGUGCAGAAUUGGAAAAUAGACUGUAUUAUUGUUUACAAAACAACGGAACCCACUUUGAACAUUAACUUAAUUGACAUUUUUAUCAAAUUUGUAGCUCAACAAAACCUCAAUAAAUUUUUCAUUUAAGCCA
Long non-coding RNA from Diabrotica virgifera virgifera (western corn rootworm), 1959 nucleotides. RefSeq lists it as uncharacterized. The transcript is spliced from 3 exons. Lineage: Eukaryota; Metazoa; Arthropoda; Insecta; Coleoptera; Chrysomelidae. The record is from RefSeq and is a predicted model, not a curated record.